GACGAACGCGGCGGCGUGCCUAAUACAUGCAAGUAGAACGCUGAAGGAGAAGCUUGCUUCUCUGGAUGAGUUGCGAACGGGUGAGUAACGCGUAGGUAACCUGCCUGGUAGCGGGGGAUAACUAUUGGAAACGAUAGCUAAUACCGCAUAACAGUAGAUGUUGCAUGACAUUUGCUUAAAAGGUGCAAUUGCAUCACUACCAGAUGGACCUGCGUUGUAUUAGCUAGUUGGUGGGGUAACGGCUCACCAAGGCGACGAUACAUAGCCGACCUGAGAGGGUGAUCGGCCACACUGGGACUGAGACACGGCCCAGACUCCUACGGGAGGCAGCAGUAGGGAAUCUUCGGCAAUGGACGGAAGUCUGACCGAGCAACGCCGCGUGAGUGAAGAAGGUUUUCGGAUCGUAAAGCUCUGUUGUAAGAGAAGAACGAGUGUGAGAAG
RNAcentral lists this ribosomal RNA (441 nucleotides) under Streptococcus mitis. RNAcentral's name for it is "bacterial SSU rRNA". It matches the Rfam family "Bacterial small subunit ribosomal RNA", at positions 28 to 462 of the family's 1533-position model. Lineage: Bacteria; Bacillati; Bacillota; Bacilli; Lactobacillales; Streptococcaceae. The record is from RNAcentral.